CCCAUUGGGAUAAGAUGCAGGAGAGCUACGAGAGCGUCAUCUCAUUGGCGGAAGAGAUCGCCAUCAGUUGGCCAAGGAUCACGGCCUUCGCCGAAUCCCAUCGCAGGAGGGGAGCGGCGGCCGACGAUUCCUUGUUGAGCGAGAACGACGACGAGGACCCUCCGCCGGGCGAGCUGGACAAGGCCGCUCCCCCUCCUCCCCAUCGCCCCAUCCCAAAGGCCCCAUUCCCAG
Long non-coding RNA from Pezoporus flaviventris, 231 nucleotides. RefSeq lists it as uncharacterized. The record is from RefSeq and is a predicted model, not a curated record. Lineage: Eukaryota; Metazoa; Chordata; Aves; Psittaciformes; Psittacidae. The transcript is spliced from 3 exons.